AUGACGCUGGAUGCCCUGUGCGCGGCCGGCGACGUCCUCGUCUACGACACCUUCAACGCGGCGGCGGCCGUGAGUGCCGCGCCGGCCGAGAGCAGCCUCCUCUUCUGCGACGUCGCCGGAGCGGCAUGGAUGGCGGGGUCUGCUGCCGCUGAGGCGCCGGCUGUGACCAUAGUGCCGGUGGAAGAAGGGGAGAAGGCGCAGGGGAGGAGGAAGCGGCGGCGGCGGGCGAGGAGCUGCAAGAAUCGCGAGGACGCCGAGAGCCAGCGGAUGACCCACAUUGCCGUCGAGCGCAACCGCCGCCGCCAGAUGAACGAGUACCUCGCCGUGCUCCGCUCCCUCAUGCCGGAGUCCUACGCCCACCGGGGCGACCAAGCAUCCAUUGUCGGCGGCGCCAUCGAUUUCGUCAAGGAGCUCGAGCAGCUGCUGCAGUCCCUGGAGGCGCAGAAGCGCACGCUCCUCGCCCAGCCGCAGCAGGAGCACAAGCCGCUGCCCAUCCGUGACGCGAUGCCAUCGUCGAGCAAAACGGUCACGGCCGCGGCGACAACUACGACGAGCAGCGGCAGCGGCGAGGGCAAGCAGGCGUCGGCGAUGCGCGAGGGGAUGGGUCCGCCGUUCGCGGGGUUCUUCACGUACCCACAGUACGUGUGUCGCCUCCCGCCGCGGGACGACGCCGACGACCGCGCCGGGGCGGCGGACAUCGAGGUGACGCUGGUGGAGACGCACGCCAACGUCCGGGUGAUGGCGCCGCGGCGGCCGGGGCAGCUGCUCAGGAUGGUCGCCGGGAUGGAGGCGCUCAGGCUCACCGUGCUGCACCUCAACGUCACCACGCUCGGCUCGCUCGCGCUCUACUCCCUCAGCGUCAAGGUGGAGGAAGGGUGCGGGCCGACGACGGCGGACGACAUCGCCGCGGCGGUGCACCAUGUGCUCUGCCUCGUCGACGCCGAGGCGACGUCGCAGCGGCUGCUCGCCGGUGGGCAGCAGGAGAUUUUAAGUUAG
This 996-nucleotide ribosomal RNA is filed under the name Triticum aestivum (bread wheat). RNAcentral describes it as "partial small subunit ribosomal RNA". Lineage: Eukaryota; Viridiplantae; Streptophyta; Magnoliopsida; Poales; Poaceae. The record is from RNAcentral.